GAAGACACUCGGGCGAUAAACAUUUAUUUUUAUGGCACCCGCGCGACCGUUUUAUCGUUAUUGUUUUUUAAUGAAUUUUCCGAAUCAUCGCGGCCGACCGUUUAUAUACCGUCAUCCCUCUGGUCGGGGGCGGUGGCCCGCACACGCACACACACAUAAUAAAACGCGUAUUAACAAUAUUAAUAACGGCAAUAUUCGCAUG
This is a non-coding RNA of Cinara cedri, 202 nucleotides long. The record is from the annotation of a GenBank genome assembly. NCBI's taxonomy places the organism in Eukaryota, Metazoa, Arthropoda, Insecta, Hemiptera, Aphididae.